This is a long non-coding RNA of Seriola dumerili (greater amberjack), 204 nucleotides long. RefSeq lists it as uncharacterized. NCBI's taxonomy places the organism in Eukaryota, Metazoa, Chordata, Actinopteri, Carangiformes, Carangidae. The record is from RefSeq and is a predicted model, not a curated record. The transcript has 2 exons.
ACUGCGACAGAGACGCUCUCAGAGACGGACGAGUCAGACUUCAGGUGUCCGCAGUCACAGCUGAAGACUCUGGAAACUACAGGUGUGAUCUGGCUGCUGCUUACGACAAAACCACGAGGCGGUGGGAGCUGGAGGCCUCUGAGGAGUUUGUCUUGAGUGUAAACCAAAAGAACGUCAACACACCUGGCCGGACAACUACUCCAG